GAGCUUGCUCUCUGGGUGGCGAGUGGCGGACGGGUGAGGAAUACAUCGGAAUCUACUCUGUCGUGGGGGAUAACGUAGGGAAACUUACGCUAAUACCGCAUACGACCUACGGGUGAAAGCAGGGGAUCUUCGGACCUUGCGCGAUUGAAUGAGCCGAUGUCGGAUUAGCUAGUUGGCGGGGUAAAGGCCCACCAAGGCGACGAUCCGUAGCUGGUCUGAGAGGAUGAUCAGCCACACUGGAACUGAGACACGGUCCAGACUCCUACGGGAGGCAGCAGUGGGGAAUAUUGGACAAUGGGCGCAAGCCUGAUCCAGCCAUACCGCGUGGGUGAAGAAGGCCUUCGGGUUGUAAAGCCCUUUUGUUGGGAAAGAAAUCCAGCCGGCUAAUACCUGGUUGGGAUGACGGUACCCAAAGAAUAAGCACCGGCUAACUUCGUGCCAGCAGCCGCGGUAAUACGAAGGGUGCAAGCGUUACUCGGAAUUACUGGGCGUAAAGCGUGCGUAGGUGGUCGUUUAAGUCCGUUGUGAAAGCCCUGGGCUCAACCUGGGAACUGCAGUGGAUACUGGGCGACUAGAGUGUGGUAGAGGGUAGCGGAAUUCCUGGUGUAGCAGUGAAAUGCGUAGAGAUCAGGAGGAACAUCCAUGGCGAAGGCAGCUACCUGGACCAACACUGACACUGAGGCACGAAAGCGUGGGGAGCAAACAGG
RNAcentral lists this ribosomal RNA (707 nucleotides) under Stenotrophomonas maltophilia. RNAcentral describes it as "bacterial SSU rRNA". It matches the Rfam family "Bacterial small subunit ribosomal RNA", at positions 76 to 776 of the family's 1533-position model. Lineage: Bacteria; Pseudomonadati; Pseudomonadota; Gammaproteobacteria; Lysobacterales; Lysobacteraceae. The record is from RNAcentral.